Molecule: small nuclear RNA, 103 nt
Organism: Eptesicus fuscus (big brown bat)
Lineage: Eukaryota; Metazoa; Chordata; Mammalia; Chiroptera; Vespertilionidae
Source: RefSeq, a predicted model, not a curated record
UUGCUUCAGCAGCACAUAUACUGAAACUGCUGUGAUACACAGAAGAUUAGCAUGGCCCCUGUGCAAGGAUGACACACACAUUUGUGAAGUGUACCAUAUUUUU